AGUGUUGCCUCUGCUGAUGGUUCGCGCGGGGCACCGCCCCGUACGAGGCAAGAGGGAACCCGGUGUGAAUCCGGGACUGCCCCGCAGCGGUGAGUGGGAACGAGCACCGUUCCGCCCCGGGAGAUCCGGGGCGGGCCAUGGCACUGGGCGCCGUCGACGGCGCCUGGGAAGCCGCGGUCGGUAGGUGCGCCGGACGAACUUCCGGCGCGUGCCCACGAGUCCGAAGACCUGCCAUCGGUGCGCGCGCCUU
This 250-nucleotide non-coding RNA is filed under the name Streptomyces nanshensis. Lineage: Bacteria; Bacillati; Actinomycetota; Actinomycetes; Kitasatosporales; Streptomycetaceae. The record is from RNAcentral.